Molecule: ribosomal RNA, 432 nt
Filed under: uncultured bacterium
Lineage: Bacteria
Description: partial 16S ribosomal RNA
Rfam family: Bacterial small subunit ribosomal RNA
Source: RNAcentral
AACGAACGCUGGCGGCAUGCCUAACACAUGCAAGUCGAACGAGACCUUCGGGUCUAGUGGCGCACGGGUGCGUAACGCGUGGGAACCUGCCCUUAGGUUCGGAAUAACUCCCCGAAAGGGGUGCUAAUACCGGAUAAUGUCUUCGGACCAAAGAUUUAUCGCCUUUGGAUGGGCCCGCGUUGGAUUAGCGAGUUGGUAGGGUAAAAGCCUACCAAGGCGACGAUCCAUAGCUGGUCUGAGAGGAUGCUCAGCCACACUGGGACUGGGACACGGCCCAGACUCCUGCGAGAGGCAGCAGUGGUGACUAAGGGACAAUGGGCGAAAGCCUGAUCCAGCAAGGCCGCGAGAGUGAUGAAGGCCUUAGGGUUGUAAAGCUCUUUUACCCGGGAUGAUAAUGACAGAACCGGGAGAAUAAGCUCCGGCUACCUCCUU